AUGCCCAAGGUGGGGUACAGGAGGCAGGACUUUAACGUUGGCUGUAUAUCUACUAUGUGCCAAAUAAGAUGCUUUCAUCUUCUCAAUUGCUACCAACCACAUCCUAUCAGGGAGGUUAUUGAUUAUUCUAAUUUUACAGAUGAGAAAGCUGAGACUGGAUAUUUAAGUCAUGUGCAUAAGGAUCAGGGACCACAUUCAAAUGGAAAAUGUCAACCUUAUGACUCCAAAUCCUAUGCCUUGUCUUUUCCUUUGUUUUUGGAUCUCAGGUCCUGAGAAUCAUUGCAAGGAACUUUUUUGUGCUAUUUUCCCCCUUCAUCCCUGAUCUUGACCCCCUUGUUCCCUUUCUUAGUUCCCUGACAAAUACCCACUCCAAUGUGAUGGCUAUAUGUCUUUGAAUAAAUAAGUGUCCCUGAGGAAUAGACAGUACUCUAACUCAUGUGUGUGUUUUUACUUACAUUAAUAAAUAUGUAUUCUAGGACUCAACCUUAACUCGGUCUAUUGUUUUAAGAUCCACCUCUCAUUUGAUAUAAAGCAUUCCACAAUUGUGUACACACCACAUGUAACUUGUCCUUUUCUAUGGAGAUGAUACCUGGGCUGUAUUCAUUAGCCAGUUAUCACAAACAAUGCUGUGAUGGACACCUUCACACAUUUCUCCAGACCUGUGCAAGAGCUGUUCUAAAGUCAGUACACGGGAGUGGGGACUACUGUGUCAUGGGUGCAUAUUUAAAUUCCUGCUGCAAAUGGGCCGUGCUAAUUUUCACUUUCACCAAAGGAGCCUAAGGGUUCUUGUUCCCCUAUAUCCUCAGAAACACUAUUAUCCUAUUUUUAAAAUUUUGUCAAUAAAUAGGUUUAGAACAAUAUUUCAUUUUUAAUUUAGCUUUCUUUUAUUACUAACGAGACAGGGCAUUCUUUCAAAUAUUCGUUAGUUAUUCACCAGUUUUAUACUUUCUGCUUCUUUCUAUUGACUUCUUACCCUUUUCUGGAUCAAUUUUCUUACUAAUUUUAAAUGUUGAAAAUACCAUCCCUAUGUCUGUGAUCUAUUACUAGUCUCUGGUGCCUUUCACUGAACAGAAAGUCAUCAUUUAGUCUUAUUCUUUCCCCAUAAUCCAGCCUGCUUCUUAUUACUGCUAUGAUAACAAAAGCAAUGAUGUUUUGGAAGCCAGUUGUCAUAGGUUUCAACCCUUUGGAUUUUGAAAAUAAAGUGCAAUUUUAGCAAGGUAUUGGUUUAUUGGUUCUGUGGAGUUCUCCAGUUGACUUCAGCAACUCAGUGUCAAUAUCCUGUCUGUCUUUAUAUUUUUACAAAAGCCUAUCAGAAGGGAACCAGGACAUGAAAGGCAAGUGUGGACAAACAGCAUCUAAUGGUCUCUCCAAAACUGUCUUUGAAAAAGUUUGUGUCUCUCUAACCUCUUCCACUGAUGGCUGAAUAAGUAGGAGCUCCAAACUGUAAGUGAGUGUGUCUGGGGUGUGCUUUGUGUAGGUGUGUGUAAGCAAAGAACAGUGCCAGCACUGGGCUGGGAGUUCAAGUCCUGACUGACCCUUGCUUACUGUUAGUCCUUGAAAAAUCCAUCUCUGAGCUUCAGUCUUCAUAUUUAUAGAAUGAGAUUUCAAUGUAGAUGACCAGAGGAGACCCAAGGAUGACCCAAUAAAUACUCUUAGAACCUGAAUACGUCACUUUAUGGUUUAAAGAAAAACCAUAAAUUCUACACUUUAUUCUCUUUGGUAUCAUAAGUGGAUCAGAGAGACCUUGUCUAUACUGCAUACACUUGAGAAGACAGGACUAAAGUCAGUCUAAUUUUAAGGCAAAAGAGAAGUAGACAACAAAGCUUGUCUCAAUAAUGAGGCAGUACAUGCUUUUUUCCUGGACUUGAAGAGGGGACAAUUUGAAGGAUCAGAUCUAGUUGAUGUAGUAGUCUCAGCAACAUCAUAAACAGAGGACCCAGAGCUGAAAACAACUGCAGCGAGUCAAAGCCACCCCUUUCUACACUGGAUUUCAGUGGCACUACAUUCUCUUGACUAUUGUGAGCCUCACGCUCAUUCCUUAGACUACUGCGAGCCUCAAGCUCAUUCCAGCCAUUACAUGUGACUUCCCUCAAAGCACCCCAGGCCCUUUUCAUUUGCCUCUCUCCUUAGUGGUCACACAUCAUUCCCAAGGCUUCAAGUACCAUGCAUGUGCUAAGGAUUUCCAAAUUUGUAUCUCUGGUACAUAUCACUAUAACUACACAUUGUUCUACAUGUUCAUAGAUGCUUCCCAGCUACCAAAAGUCAGCUCCUACUUCUCCUUACCAAACCUGUUAAUCCCCCUGUAUUCUAUGUCAGAAUUCAGUGCUGUUACCUUCCAAUUUCUCAAACCAGAAAUGUGAGAGUCAUUGUUGAUAUUCCCCCACUCCCCUACCAUUGCCAUAUUCAAUCAAUCAUCAUAUUC
RNAcentral lists this long non-coding RNA (2422 nucleotides) under Canis lupus familiaris (dog). RNAcentral describes it as "lncRNA (ENSCAFG00845030364.1)". The record is from RNAcentral. Lineage: Eukaryota; Metazoa; Chordata; Mammalia; Carnivora; Canidae.